AUGGCCGGGGGUUUGUGGAAGAGGGUCAGAAACACGUUCGCCAAAGUCCCUGAAAUUGUGCGCCUCGUCCACGACAUGCGAGUCGGUGGUUGCCACGAGGAGUUCCGGACAGCGAGGGAGCAGUGCCGCCGCGAACGGGAACGGCUGAGAGACAUGGCCGACGGGAAGCCCGGAGAGGGAGAGGUGGCCUCGUGCGCCAAGGCGACGGCGGCGCUGCGCAAGUGCAUGGAGGGCAAGGACGUCUUGGCCAAGCACCUUGUUGCAAUGGAUGACGGCAUCAGGGAGGAUGAGUGGCGGGGGUGGGAUCCCUAUAUGCAGGCCAAGCGGGCCGCGAGGUUUAGAUGGUGGACGGGCAUGAGCAAGUGUGAAGAAGACCACUACUAG
Molecule: ribosomal RNA, 384 nt
Filed under: Triticum aestivum (bread wheat)
Lineage: Eukaryota; Viridiplantae; Streptophyta; Magnoliopsida; Poales; Poaceae
Description: partial small subunit ribosomal RNA
Source: RNAcentral